Molecule: ribosomal RNA, 2000 nt
Filed under: Triticum aestivum (bread wheat)
Lineage: Eukaryota; Viridiplantae; Streptophyta; Magnoliopsida; Poales; Poaceae
Description: partial small subunit ribosomal RNA
Source: RNAcentral
CUUCUUCUCUCUCAGGCCUAUUCUUUCCCCCAUCUCCUUGCAGCGACUCAAAAAAAUCCACUUGCAGCCGCCACCGUAAGCCCUCGCCGCCAACCCACAAAAGAGUCCUGGCCGCCGGCUCUCCGGUGCUCUCCGCCUCCCUGGAAGGUUGGAUCUCGCCGUGGUCCCGAAAUCGCCGGCUCUCUCCACCCUUGAGGUCUCAUAUCUCCCAAGGAUCCUCUCCAACCCAGAGUUCCUCGUGGAGGGCACUAACUGACACCGGCGUGCGGGGGCGAGGCAGGCCGCCCCUCCUCCGACCAUCUAACCAUAGCAGCGUGGCUCCUCCGACGAGCGGAUGGGCUCUCCUCUCCCAUCGGCCGGCACCUCGACUCCGACUCCUACAGCUCGCGCCGGCCAACAUCCUCUAUCGCCAAAUCUUAACCACACCAUGUUCUUCUGGACAUCGUCGUGAACCUCCAAGCAGACAAGCCAACCUUCAUGUGUAUUUCCUAUUAUAUCUCUACUCUAUUCUUCUCUGCUCUGUUUUUCAGGAAGAAGCUGGAUUGGUGGCUGUUUCCGGUUUCCAGCAUGCAGAUGGGUAUGCCAACGGCUGUUCCUUGGUUGAACUAUGCAAAGCAUCUCGCUGAAUUCCAAGAUGUACUAUUUUGGGUCUGCAUACAUACCCAAGCAGGGGAGAUAAAAGCUGCAAGUUGGGUAGAAAGCUCGGCAUGAUUCUCGGAUCGACGUCUCUGUUUCUAUUUAUGGUGGGCAAGGAGGAGAAGUGAUCUCUCUACCGUGGGCACCCACUGCAGCUACUGCCGAAGUAUGAGCAAUCCCCGAUGCCAAGAUCAUAGAGCAAUCUCUUGCAAUUUUGCGCUUUUGGCCGUGCGUCCUCUCUUAGGCUCUGAGGCCGAUUUUGCUACUCUCCAACUGAGGUUCUUAGUUCAUGGAAUCAUUAUUUGGAUCUUCUUCCCGGUGCCAAAAUAUGCUGAAUCUGCGAGGUGUUUUCCUGUAGUCUGCCCAUUUUGCCCAGUGCAAGUUCUGUUUGAAAUUUCUUAUCUGUGCUUAACCAAUAUAUGCAGCCUGAUAGUUUAUUGAACAUUUAUUCCAUCUUAUUCUGUCCCUAAAACAUUUUUUUGUGAAAAAAAUGUUUUUACAGGACUGAUAGAUAAAUUGGUGUUGCAGCCUAGAAGCAGAAACAUAUCCCAUAACAAACAUUUAAUUUUUUUUUCUGAAGAACAUUGCAACUGUCAUCUGGAUUGGGACAAAUUUAUCUGAGUUGAUCUUCUCAAACUUGAUUGCCUUUUUUGGGAGAAUAAAAGGGCACUCUUUACGCCAUCCUUGAUUUCAUCAUAUAUGUCUAGGUGUCAUCCUUCUACUACUCUACAACCACCAACACUCAAAUUUCCCAUCUAUAGAUGUGUGUACUUCAUGUGUUUGAUGGGAUGUACAAGUGAAAAAUCAUAGACUCGAUGGCAGGGGCCUUAUCUUUCAUUUUGUUGAGUAGGGGUGCAUGCUUCAGACUAAAACUUGGUGGGUUUCAUUGAUAAUGACAUAUAGUAUCACAAUCACAAUUCUUUUGAUGUAAUUCAGGUAUAUAUCUUGACUGAGUUACCUUUCUUAGAUUACGGCAUCUUGCACUCCUAUUCUUUAAAGGAUUUGGUCUUCCCAGCAUUACACAGCGUACAUGCAUGUUCUUCAUGCAAAUUAUGAGCUCAUACCUACAAAUUAUGUUCUUCAUGCAUGUUCUUCCCGACAUUGUAUGCUUCCAACUAAGUACUGACUACCCUUUUUUUAAUUCUCCAUAUCACAUACCGACUGAAGGAAUUACGUUGGAGUGGUGGUGGCAUUCUAAUGGUUGUUUCCUCACCUGAAAUAAUAUGAAAUAAAUCACAUUUGUGCUUUGUUUGAUAUUUUCCUGGUCUGCUCACAUGCUUAUGUAAUAGUUCCCUCGGAUUGUAGGAACGAGCUUCAUAUAGAUAGGCAGAAAUAUGUUUAUGAUCAAUCAAAGACAAUAGGAA